RNAcentral lists this long non-coding RNA (1361 nucleotides) under Lactuca sativa (garden lettuce). RNAcentral describes it as "long non-coding RNA (LSAT_LNC009784)". The record is from RNAcentral. Lineage: Eukaryota; Viridiplantae; Streptophyta; Magnoliopsida; Asterales; Asteraceae.
UUCAUUAGGAUCGUAGUGUGUGCACAAGUCCUCGCUUGACACCUAGCCAUCCUAUACCGUUCAGUUCAUUCCAAUCACCAACUACAGGUGAGUUCAUACCCCUAAUCAAUGUUUUAAAUGAUUUUAAAUGCUUUAGGGGGGGGAAUACAAGUAGAAACAAACAUGUUAUUAAAUCAUUGAUAUGUAUUUUAUAACUGUGUUUGUCAUUUAACAGAUUUCACAUGCUACAAAAUGUGAUGCAUGAAAUGGUUUUACAUCUUAAAAGCACAUUGUUACCAAAUGUUUUACCUCUGAAAUGUUUAUUAAAAUGACAUCAAGUCAUUGUUAAUUAUUGUUCAAAACCCAUAAGAUGUCUUACAAAAACCAUUUUUCAUUCUUGAACUAAACUAUGCAUAUACACUUAUAUUCUUAUAUAUGUAUUGAUGUCAUAGUUUGCAUCUUUCAUUUAGUUUCCCAUACCCUUGAGUAGUAAGAGUGGGUAAACUUACAUGUUCAACUAGUUAUAUUACAGUAGAUUAUCAUAGGGAUAAUUUGAAGAUAUCAAACAUUACUUCUAUUACAAGGAGUCACACAAGAGUCAGUUCAUUCAUGAGUCUAUACUAGUACAUUACCUGAUACAUGAGUACUUACAGAUGAUUACCUGAUACAUGAAUAUGUUUACAUAUACUUACAUGAUACAUGAACACGUUUACAUGAACGCAUUACAUGAGUACCUUUACGUAGAUACACUUAACUGUGUACAUUAACAUGAAUACUUGUAUCUCGAAUUGCGAGGAUGAUUUAUUAGUACCUUCUGUGUAAAUCUUCCUGCCUAUUCCACAGUACCUCGGAAUAUCUAAGACAGGACCCUAUCCCAUAGUACCUCGGGAUACCUAGAUGGGCCUCUAUCCCACAGUACCUCGGGAUAUACGUACGGGACUAACCAUUCCGGAACCCAUCUGUUAGCAACAGUGGGUAAUGAACAUCUACGGAUGCCUACGGUUAUUACUUAUACUAGGAGUACCUUUACAGGGACUAACCCUUCCUCCCACCUGCUGCUGCUACAGAGGACAAUUGGACAAUCUUCGGAUGUUCAUUAGGUUAUAUGUAAUAUGUUAGCCCUAGUACCUCGGGUCAACAUUUACAUUCGUCUUGUUAGCACCAGUACCUCCGGCUAACACUUACAUGAUUAUAUUUUUCCUGUUUACUUUAUUUUGUGAUAUCUUUCACAUAAACGAGGAGUUAGACUAAGUACUUUGGUACUAGUCAAUAGAAAGGAAAAACUAUCAGUCUACAUAGUCAUAACAAAACAUUCGGGUCUUGGUAGAAGACUACACUUCAUACUUACAAAACAUUCGGGUCUUGGUAGAAGACUACACUUC